This is a regulatory RNA element of 117 nucleotides. It matches the Rfam family "ALIL pseudoknot". The record is from Rfam.
GGCAUAUUUCGCACAGGCGGAGCUCGACCGCCGACCGAAGUGAUGAUUGCCUUCAUUGACGAUCACCGGUCGGCGUAUGGGGUCGAGCCGAUCUGCAGGGUGCUGCCGAUCGCCCCG